This 272-nucleotide ribosomal RNA is filed under the name Escherichia coli. RNAcentral's name for it is "partial 16S ribosomal RNA". It matches the Rfam family "Bacterial small subunit ribosomal RNA", at positions 1 to 269 of the family's 1533-position model. The record is from RNAcentral. Lineage: Bacteria; Pseudomonadati; Pseudomonadota; Gammaproteobacteria; Enterobacterales; Enterobacteriaceae.
AAAUUGAAGAGUUUGAUCAUGGCUCAGAUUGAACGCUGGCGGCAGGCCUAACACAUGCAAGUCGAACGGUAGCAGGAAGAAGCUUGCUUCUUUGCUGACGAGUGGCGGACGGGUGAGUAAUGUCUGGGAAACUGCCUGAUGGAGGGGGAUAACUACUGGAAACGGUAGCUAAUACCGCAUAACGUCGCAAGACCAAAGAGGGGGACCUUCGGGCCUCUUGCCAUCGGAUGUGCCCAGAUGGGAUUAGCUAGUAGGUGGGGUAACGGCUCACC